GAAAUGCGAUAAGUAAUGUGAAUAGCAGAAUUCAGUGAAUCAUCGAAUCUUUGAACGCACAUUGCGCCCGCCAGUAUUCUGGCGGGCAUGCCUGUUCGAGCGUCAUUUCAACCAUCAAGCCCCCGGCUUGUGUUGGGGACCUGCGGCUGCCCGCAGGCCCUGAAAAACAGUGGCGGGCUCGCUGUCACACCGAGCGUAGUAGCAUACAUUCUCGCUCAGGGCGUGCUGCGGGUUCCGGCCGUUAAACGACCUUCAUAACCCAAGGUUGACCUCGGAUCAGGUAGGAAGACCCGCUGAACUUAAGC
This 305-nucleotide unclassified non-coding RNA is filed under the name plant metagenome. Its description in RNAcentral is "partial contains 5.8S ribosomal RNA, internal transcribed spacer 2, and large subunit ribosomal RNA". The stretch from base 1 to 105 matches the Rfam family "5.8S ribosomal RNA", at positions 50 to 154 of the family's 154-position model. The record is from RNAcentral.